Molecule: ribosomal RNA, 505 nt
Filed under: uncultured bacterium
Lineage: Bacteria
Description: partial 16S ribosomal RNA
Rfam family: Bacterial small subunit ribosomal RNA
Source: RNAcentral
GACGAACGCUGGCGGCGUGCCUAAUACAUGCAAGUAGAACGCACAGUUUAUACCGUAGCUUGCUACACCAUAGACUGUGAGUUGCGAACGGGUGAGUAACGCGUAGGUAACCUGCCUGGUAGCGGGGGAUAACUAUUGGAAACGAUAGCUAAUACCGCAUAAUAUUCAUUAUUGCAUGAUAAUUAAUUGAAAGGUGCAAUUGCACCACUACCAGAUGGACCUGCGUUGUAUUAGCUAGUAGGUGAGGUAACGGCUCACCUAGGCGACGAUACAUAGCCGGCCUGAGAGGGUGAGCGGCCACACUGGGACUGAGACACGGCCCAGACUCCUACGGGAGGCAGCAGUAGGGAAUCUUCGGCAAUGGACGAAAGUCUGACCGAGCAACGCCGCGUGAGUGAAGAAGGGUUUCGGAUCGUAAAGCUCUGUUGUAAGAGAAGAACGGGUGUGAGAGUGGAAAGUUCACACUGUGACGGUAUCUUACCAGAAAGGGACGGCUAACUACGUG